This 227-nucleotide long non-coding RNA is filed under the name Phoenix dactylifera (date palm). RNAcentral describes it as "long non-coding RNA (PDAC_LNC014474)". Lineage: Eukaryota; Viridiplantae; Streptophyta; Magnoliopsida; Arecales; Arecaceae. The record is from RNAcentral.
UUUUCUUUUCUUCUCCUUCCCGAAGCUUCCUCUCCUCCCUUCUUCUUCUUCACCGAGACCCCCCUAUCCCACUGAAGAAGGAGGGAAUGGGGCUCCGGCCGACUGCAGCCCCCUGCCGAGAGCCAGCAGCGACUGCGUCCGAGAACCGUGUACGGAGUCCCUCCUCUAUUUUAUUUUGGAACAGGAAAAAUAAAGAAGAAACAGGAUGAUCAGGGAGCUUACCUGGG